RNAcentral lists this ribosomal RNA (429 nucleotides) under uncultured bacterium. RNAcentral describes it as "bacterial SSU rRNA". It matches the Rfam family "Bacterial small subunit ribosomal RNA", at positions 355 to 776 of the family's 1533-position model. The record is from RNAcentral.
UGAGGAAUAUUGGACAAUGGGGGAAACCCUGAUCCAGCAAUGCCGCGUGUGUGAAGAAGGCCUUCGGGUUGUAAAGCACUUUCAGUAGUGAAGAAAGACAUGAGGUUAAUAGCCUCGUGGGAUGACGUUAACUACAGAAGAAGCACCGGCUAACUCUGUGCCAGCAGCCGCGGUAAUACAGAGGGUGCAAGCGUUAAUCGGAAUUACUGGGCGUAAAGCGCGCGUAGGUGGACUUUUAAGUCAGAUGUGAAAUCCCCGGGCUCAACCUGGGAACUGCAUUUGAUACUGGGAGUCUAGAGUAUGGGAGAGGGAAGUGGAAUUUCCGGUGUAGCGGUGAAAUGCAUAGAUAUCGGAAGGAACAUCAGUGGCGAAGGCGGCUUCCUGGACCAAUACUGACACUGAGGUGCGAAAGCGUGGGGAGCGAACAGG